AACCAUCAUCCAAACAAAUCAGUAUAAAUAUAUUUUGAUUUUGGCUAAAUUACAGAAAACUUUUCUAAGAAUAUCCGAUUUUUCAUUUUCUUUUUUAUCAUUCAAAAAUUCACACUUUAUCCGUUUAAAAAAUAAAAAAUAUUAACAGAAAAUACGCUGCGACAAAAUGACCAAAUUAUCUCUCAUUUUCUUCUGGGUGGGCGUGGACGGAGAGGUCGGCGAGGGCGAGGGCGAGGGCGAGUGCGAGGGUGAGUUAGCGGAGGCAGGCGAGGGCGUGUGUGUAGGCAUGGGAAGAGAGGCGAGGGUGAGACGGCGCGGCCGAGGAUGAGAAAAGAGGAAGGUUUCAGCAGUAUUUUGGAUAUAAAAAAGGGACAUAAACGGAACCCUAUUGUAAUACUGACGGUGAGAUCAAAGUGAACAUUUUUUAUUUUUUAAGGGGAUAAAAUGUAGAUUUUUGAAUGAGGAAUUUGAAAAAGCGGGUAUUAAAAGGAAGAUUUUUUGUAAUUUAGGCUUUGAUUUUUGGCACGAUUUCUUUAGUUUUAUGCUAUUAGG
This 552-nucleotide long non-coding RNA is filed under the name Ananas comosus (pineapple). Its description in RNAcentral is "long non-coding RNA (ACOM_LNC014702)". Lineage: Eukaryota; Viridiplantae; Streptophyta; Magnoliopsida; Poales; Bromeliaceae. The record is from RNAcentral.